Molecule: ribosomal RNA, 616 nt
Filed under: Steriphus sp. NLG-2014
Lineage: Eukaryota; Metazoa; Arthropoda; Insecta; Coleoptera; Curculionidae
Description: partial 16S ribosomal RNA
Source: RNAcentral
GUCUUGAAAAUUAAAAAAUUUGGCGGUAUUUUAGUCUAUUCAGAGGAACCUGCCCUAUGAUUGAUGGUCCACGAGUCUUUUUACUUAUAUUAAUAGUUUGUAUAUCGCCGUAGUUUGAAUAUUUUUUAAAAAUUAUAAUGUUCAUAAUCUUUUAAUAAAGAGGAAAUCAGGUCAAGGUGUAGCUUAUAUAUAAGAAGAGGUGGGUUACAAUAAUUAUAAUUAAACGGAUUAGUAAAUUAAAAUUUUCUAAGAAGGUGGAUUUGAGGGUAAUAUUAUUAAGAUUAAUAAUAUGAUUCUAGCUCUAAAAUAUGCACAUAUCGCCCGUCGCUUUCAUUAUAAAAUGGAAUAAGUCGUAACAAAGUAGGGGUACUGGAAAGUGUUCCUAGAAAGUCAAUCUAGAGCUUGUUAAAGCAUUUUAGUUACAUUAAAAAGUUUAUUGUAAAUUCAAUAUAGUUUGAAUUUAGAAUUUUAUUUAAAGUUUUAGUUUAAUAUUAUUUGAAAAAAUUAUUUUUAUGUUUUAUUAAUAUUUAUGAAUAAAUUUAGGUAAUUAUAGAGAAAUAGUAUUGUGAAAGAAUAUUUUAUAUUAUUAGAAGAAGAUUUUAAUUUUUGUACCUGG